RNAcentral lists this ribosomal RNA (433 nucleotides) under uncultured bacterium. RNAcentral describes it as "bacterial SSU rRNA". It matches the Rfam family "Bacterial small subunit ribosomal RNA", at positions 29 to 506 of the family's 1533-position model. The record is from RNAcentral.
ACGAACGCUGGCGGCAGGCCUAAUACAUGCAAGUCGAACGGACGUAGCAAUACGUUAGUGGCGCACGGGUGAGUAACGCGUGGGAACGUGCCCUUCAGUACGGGACAACGUCGGGAAACUGACGCUAAUACCGUAUAAUAUCUCCGGAUCAAAGAUUUAUCGCUGAAGGAUCGGCCCGCGUCUGAUUAGCUAGUUGGUGAGGUAAUGGCUUACCAAGGCUACGAUCAGUAGCUGGUCUGAGAGGAUGAUCAGCCACACUGGGACUGAGACACGGCCCAGACUCCUACGGGAGGCAGCAGUAAGGAAUAUUGGACAAUGGGGGAAACCCUGAUCCAGCCAUGCCGCGUGUGUGAUGAAGGCCUUAGGGUUGUAAAACACUUUCGUCGGGGAUGAUAAUGACCGUACCCGAAGAAGAAGCCACGGCUAAAUUCGU